CAGAGCUGUGACUGUUGUAAAACUCCUGCCACCCACAGCUCAGCAAAAUCUCAGGCGCCAUUGUAGAGCAGCCAUUGAAUCAACACAGAGAGGCGGCAGCGUGCCUCUGACUCACCAGGAACCCAGCUCCUCACUGUUCCGCCUGCAAACAGACCUCAAAGCUCCUUGUUCCUUGCUUUGUGCUGCUGAACGCAAGUGGGACCCAGGGAAGGCCACAGAUGCUCUCUGGAAGUACAAUAGCUAUUUUCCUGGUCUGCAUCUGAGGUAGACACGGAAGGAUCAGAGGGACUCAGGGCAUUGCCCUCAGGGGAGUUCUUGGUGCUCAAUGCCUGCAUACCUCACUUAUGCCAUGAAGGUAUUCCUUAAAGGAAAUGAUAAAAAUAUCACUUUGAUGAGGAAUCGAAAAUUAACCAACUCGAUAAGUGGAAUACCCAGGAUUCCCCAAACGGACUGGCUUCAAGAAGGAAAAGAUGGGUGUUGGAAAAUUUAAUGGACUGAAGAAAUGGCAGCAUUUGUUUUUGAAUGAGAAUAAAAUAAGUACAGUCACAAGUAUUGCACAAAUGUUUCAUUUGUGAGCUUCUCUCCGUCCAGAUAAAGGUAACUUUUUGGGAAAUUCAUUUGUAAAGGAAUAAUUUCAUCUACUUUCCUACAUUGAGAUCAGUUUCCAGAAAUGAAGAUACCAUAAAAUUUAUUCUCUAAAACUAUGCCAUUGAAAACCAAAUUCUAAAAAUGUUCUCAGACUUCAAACUUUAUGAAAAUGAAAUAACAUUAUUUAGCUUACCUUUCUUAUUUUUUGAUAGCACCUAUGUUGGGCUAUGAUUAGACAUUAUCAAACUGUAAUGCAAAAACGGUACUGAAGUCUAUUUGAAGUCUAAGUAGAGCAAUGCUGAAAGCCAGGAUUGUACACACAUUUUGGAAGAGGUGAUUCUAGAUAUAAGAACCAUUUACAGUAGUAAUUCCAUCCAUGUUAGGAAGAGCCUAUGUUUAGGCUCGACUCCAAAAUUAAUCUGAAAAAAACCAACCACCCUCCUGGCAUAAGUGUUUAAGGCUGCAUUCUGUACAUCACAGUGAAAAAUACAGGGCCUGAAACAUGUUUUGGUACAGAAAAAAAGAUGUGAGGUUUCUGAUUCCAAGUCAAAGCAGUAAUGAAUUAUGAAAUAAAAAUAUAGCAAUAAUUGUUUUCCUUUUUCAAUGUUUUUAAAAUUUAAUAUAAAAUAGCAUAUGAAUAUUAUAUAUAUUUACAUUAUUACAUACCUAUUCCAUAAUUUAAUAAGAAUAAAGUGUUUGCUUCCAUUUCUUGGAGUUUGUCAUUCUUAUAUUCAGCUUAUUUUGUUCAUGAUGACUACCUCCCUGGCCCUUCGACACUUGCUACUCAUUUGUUUUCUACCUACUUGUUUAUAGAGUUUAUAUCUUUUACUAGAGAGUAAGCUGUCUGAGGGCUACACUUUUAUUUCAUUCGUCUUUGCAUCUCCACAGCCCUAGAAUAGAAGUGGGUUCUUAGUACAUGGUCAGUAAGUGUUGGUUAAAUUGAAUUACAUUGCCUUGUUGACUGUUAUUAAUCUUUAAAAUUUUGGGAUAAUUUCCUACCAAACAAACAUCUUUAUUAUGACUUAUAGAAAAAUGAAUAUUUCCUACCAAACAAACAUCUUUAUUAUGACUUAUAGAAAAAUGAAUAAUGCUUAUCAAUAAUCUUUAGUUCUUCUAGUCUCUAGAUGAUUGAAAUGUUUCUCCCUAUCCCUGGGUACCCACCCAGCUAUGCCCCUUUGUGGAAAAAGGCCAAGGGAAAGUCUUUCUCCUUGGCUGAAAUGCCUCCAGCAAGCAGAUGGGUAAGUGGCCCAGUGUAGGUGGGGUCCACUUUCUACUCCUGAGGAGGAGUUGCCUCUCACAGACAGGACACAUCCCCUCCUGCUGGAGAGGAACGGGGCAACAGCCUUCUAGACAGAAGAACUCUGUUUCUAUGAUUUUAUUUUCCACUGUGCUCCACUCCAGAAGAACUAAGGUGACUUGUUAGUUAAUAUGAUUCUCAAAAACCCUCUGUGACAGUUUUCUUAACCAUUUUUCUCCCUCUAAUGAGAACAUGCUUUCCUGAGACCUAGAAUGGCAUACAAUUAUUUCACUGUGUAAUCUCAAAUUAGUGGGAUGUUAUUUACAAGAUGAUUUUACUAAACUGACAAUUGUUAUUUCUAAC
RNAcentral lists this long non-coding RNA (2188 nucleotides) under Homo sapiens (human). Its description in RNAcentral is "HSALNT0315558". The record is from RNAcentral. Lineage: Eukaryota; Metazoa; Chordata; Mammalia; Primates; Hominidae.